This 445-nucleotide ribosomal RNA is filed under the name uncultured bacterium. Its description in RNAcentral is "partial 16S ribosomal RNA". It matches the Rfam family "Bacterial small subunit ribosomal RNA", at positions 356 to 792 of the family's 1533-position model. The record is from RNAcentral.
AGGGAAUCUUCCACAAUGGACGCAAGUCUGAUGGAGCAACGCCGCGUGAGUGAAGAAGGUUUUCGGACCGUAAAGCUCUGUUGUUGGUGAAGAAGGAUAGAGGUAGUAACUGGCCUUUAUUUGACGGUAAUCAACCAGAAAGUCACGGCUAACUACGUGCCAGCAGCCGCGGUAAUACGUAGGUGGCAAGCGUUGUCCGGAUUUAUUGGGCGUAAAGCGAGCGCAGGCGGAAGAAUAAGUCUGAUGUGAAAGCCCUCGGCUUAACCGAGGAAUUGCAUCGGAAACUGUUUUUCUUGAGUGCAGAAGAGGAGAGUAGAACUCCAUGUGUAGCGGUGGAAUGCGUAGAUAUAUGGAAGAAUACCAGUGGCGAAGGCGGCUCUCUGGUCUGCAACUGACGCUGAGGCUCGAAAGCAUGGGUAGCGAACAGGAUUAGAUACCCUUGGUA